Molecule: ribosomal RNA, 597 nt
Filed under: uncultured Trichoderma
Lineage: Eukaryota; Fungi; Ascomycota; Sordariomycetes; Hypocreales; Hypocreaceae
Description: eukaryotic LSU rRNA
Rfam family: 5.8S ribosomal RNA (bases 201-354)
Source: RNAcentral
GAAAUACGGAGCUAACUCCAACCCAUGUGAACGUUACCAAACUGUUGCCUCGGCGGGAUCUCUGCCCCGGGGGCGGGGCAGCCCCGGACCAAGGCGCCCGCCGGAGGACCAACCAAAACUCUUUUUGUAUACCCCCUCGCGGGUUUUUUAUAAUCUGAGCCUUCUCGGCGCCUCUCGUAGGCGUUUUGAAAAUGAAUCAAAACUUUCAACAACGGAUCUCUUGGUUCUGGCAUCGAUGAAGAACGCAGCGAAAUGCGAUAAGUAAUGUGAAUUGCAGAAUUCAGUGAAUCAUCGAAUCUUUGAACGCACAUUGCGCCCGCCAGUAUUCUGGCGGGCAUGCCUGUCCGAGCGUCAUUUCAACCCUCGAACCCCUCCGGGGGGUCGGCGUUGGGGAUCGGCCCUGCCUCUUUUUUUGUGUUCGUCUCCGAAAUACAGUGGCGGUCUCGCCGCAGCCUCUCCUGCGCAGUAGUUUGCACACUCGCAUCGGGAGCGCGGCGCGUCCACAGCCGUUAAACACCCAACUUCUGAAAUGUUGACCUCGGAUCAGGUAGGAAUACCCGCUGAACUUAAGCAUAUCAAUAAGCGGGAGGAACAUUU